RNAcentral lists this ribosomal RNA (314 nucleotides) under uncultured eukaryote. Its description in RNAcentral is "partial large subunit ribosomal RNA". It matches the Rfam family "Eukaryotic large subunit ribosomal RNA", at positions 40 to 350 of the family's 3401-position model. The record is from RNAcentral.
AUAUUAAUAAGCGGAGGAAAAGAAACUAACUAGGAUUCCCUCAGUAACGGCGAGUGAAGCGGGAAGAGCUCAAAUUUUAAAGCUUCGUGGUUUCCACGACGCGUUGUAAAUUCAAGAAACGUUUUCUCAUGUAGCUCCGGUUUAAGUCUGUUGGAAAGCAGCAUCAUAGAGGGUGAGAAUCCCGUCUGUGACUGGGUGUCUACAUGUCUACGAUACGUUUUCAAAGAGUCAGGUUGUUUGGGAAUGCAGCCUAAAAUGGGUGGUAAAUUUCAUCUAAAGCUAAAUAUUGCCACGAGACCGAUAGCGCACAAGUA